RNAcentral lists this ribosomal RNA (253 nucleotides) under uncultured bacterium. RNAcentral's name for it is "partial 16S ribosomal RNA". It matches the Rfam family "Bacterial small subunit ribosomal RNA", at positions 524 to 776 of the family's 1533-position model. The record is from RNAcentral.
UACGUAGGGGGCAAGCGUUGUCCGGAAUUAUUGGGCGUAAAGCGCGCGCAGGCGGUUAAUUAAGUCAGGUGUGAAAGGCCACGGCUCAACCGUAGAGCUGCAUUGGAAACUGGUUGACUUGAGUGCAGGAGAGGUAAGUGGAAUUCCCGGUGUAGCGGUGGAAUGCGUAGAGAUCGGGAGGAACACCAGUGGCGAAGGCGGCUUACUGGCCUGCAACUGACGCUGAGGCGCGAAAGCGUGGGGAGCAAACAGG